Molecule: ribosomal RNA, 253 nt
Filed under: uncultured bacterium
Lineage: Bacteria
Description: partial 16S ribosomal RNA
Rfam family: Bacterial small subunit ribosomal RNA
Source: RNAcentral
GACAGAGGUGCCGAGCGUUAGGCGGAAUCACUGGGCUUAAAGCGUGUGUAGGCGGACUUCUAAGUCCCUUGUGAAAUCCCACGGCUUAACCGUGGAACUGCUUGGUAUACUGGUUGUCUUGGGCCAUCUAGGGGCUAGCGGAACAAACGGUGGAGCGGUGAAAUGCGUAGAUAUCGUUUGGAACGCCAAUGGUGAAAACAGCUAGCUGGGGAUGCGCCGACGCUGAGACACGAAAGCCAGGGGAGCGAACGGG